This 24-nucleotide non-coding RNA is filed under the name Arabidopsis thaliana (thale cress). Lineage: Eukaryota; Viridiplantae; Streptophyta; Magnoliopsida; Brassicales; Brassicaceae. The record is from RNAcentral.
GGCCAACUAUGCUGCCGGACUGCG